RNAcentral lists this ribosomal RNA (253 nucleotides) under uncultured bacterium. RNAcentral describes it as "partial 16S ribosomal RNA". It matches the Rfam family "Bacterial small subunit ribosomal RNA", at positions 524 to 776 of the family's 1533-position model. The record is from RNAcentral.
CACGUAGGGGACGAGCGUUGUCCGGAUUCAUUGGGCGUAAAGCGCGCGUAGGCGGCUCGGAAAGUCGGUCGUGAAAUGCCGGGGCUCAACCCCGGGACUGCGUCCGAUACUCUCGAGCUGGAGGCAGGUAGGGGAGAUCGGAAUUCUUGGUGUAGCGGUGAAAUGCGCAGAUAUCAGGAGGAACACCGGUGGCGAAGGCGGAUCUCUGGGCCUUGCCUGACGCUGAGGCGCGAAAGCUAGGGGAGCGAACAGG